RNAcentral lists this ribosomal RNA (253 nucleotides) under uncultured bacterium. RNAcentral describes it as "partial 16S ribosomal RNA". It matches the Rfam family "Bacterial small subunit ribosomal RNA", at positions 524 to 776 of the family's 1533-position model. The record is from RNAcentral.
UACGUAGGGUGCGAGCGUUGCCCGGAAUUAUUGGGCGUAAAGCGCACGUAGGCGGCUUUGCAAGUCGGAUGUGAAAUCCCUCGGCUCAACCAAGGAAGUGCAUCCGAAACUGCAGAGCUUGAGUACCAAAGAGGAUCGCGGAGUUCCCGGUGUAGAGGUGAAAUUCGUAGAUAUCGGGAGGAACACCAGUGGCGAAGGCGGCGAUCUGGGUGGAUACUGACGCUGAGGUGCGAAAGCGUGGGGAGCAAACAGG